Molecule: ribosomal RNA, 522 nt
Filed under: uncultured bacterium
Lineage: Bacteria
Description: bacterial SSU rRNA
Rfam family: Bacterial small subunit ribosomal RNA
Source: RNAcentral
UGUUUGAUCCUGGCUCAGAACGAACGCUGGCGGCGUGCCUAACACAUGCAAGUCGAGCCGUGAAAGUCCCUUCGGGGGCGAGUAAAGCGGCAGACGGGUGAGUAAUACAUAGGUAAUCUACCUUCGAGCUUGGGAUAACCCUGCGAAAGUGGGGCUAAUACCGGAUAAGACCACACGGCGUAAGUCGCGUGGUAAAAGGUGGCUUAUUUUUUAAAUGAGCUAUCACUCGAGGAUGAGCCUGUGGCCUAUCAGCUUGUUGGUGAGGUAAGAGCUUACCAAGGCUAUGACGGGUAGCUGGUCUGAGAGGACGACCAGCCACACUGGGACUGAGACACGGCCCAGACUCCUACGGGAGGCAGCAGUGAGGAAUCUUGCGCAAUGGGGGAAACCCUGACGCAGCAACGCCGCGUGAGUGAGGAAGGCCUUCGGGUCGUAAAGCUCUGUCAGAUGGGAAGAAAUGGGUGGGGGUGAAUAUCGUCCACCCUUGACGGUACCAUCAGAGGAAGCACCGGCUAACUCCGU